This 444-nucleotide ribosomal RNA is filed under the name Triticum aestivum (bread wheat). RNAcentral's name for it is "partial small subunit ribosomal RNA". The record is from RNAcentral. Lineage: Eukaryota; Viridiplantae; Streptophyta; Magnoliopsida; Poales; Poaceae.
AUGAGUGAGCAGAUAACCAAUUUGGAGAAAUUAAUUAUGGGCAUACCUUGCAUACCAGAAGGUGAGGAACCAAAGAGUUGUUCGUCAGAAGUAGCAUCUGACACUGCAACAGCUUUGAGUUUGGGUAGCAAUUCUGAAAACACACUAAAGGAUCCGGUAUAUACAAAACCAAAAGGGAGAAUGAAGAAAACAGGAAGGCAAAAGAGCAUGGUUGAGGAAAUUAUAGCCAAACCAAAAAUGACUUGCUCUGGGUGUGGCAAACAAGGUCACAGGAUAACUGGAUGUAAGCCAACAGAGGAGAAUGCAACACAGAAAAUUAAUAAGAGAGCUAGAAAGGACAACAUUGCAUUAAAUUCAGAUGAUGAGAAGGCAAAGGCGACAAAGAAGACUAAAUGCAUUGAAAGAAAAGAAGGCAAUGCAAAGUCCAAGAAGAAGGCGUUGUAA